Molecule: non-coding RNA, 75 nt
Organism: Octopus bimaculoides (California two-spot octopus)
Lineage: Eukaryota; Metazoa; Mollusca; Cephalopoda; Octopoda; Octopodidae
Source: Rfam
AGCGCGAUGGCCGAGUGGUUAAGGCGUUGGACUUAAGUUCCAAUGUCCGCGUGGGUUCGAACCAGACUCGUGCAA